This 72-nucleotide transfer RNA is filed under the name Sphaerodactylus townsendi. Its description in RNAcentral is "tRNA-Val". It matches the Rfam family "tRNA". Rfam says of the family: Transfer RNA (tRNA) molecules are approximately 80 nucleotides in length. Their secondary structure includes four short double-helical elements and three loops (D, anti-codon, and T loops). The record is from RNAcentral. Lineage: Eukaryota; Metazoa; Chordata; Lepidosauria; Squamata; Sphaerodactylidae.
GGGGCUGUCGCUCAGUGGAAGAGCCUCUGCUUUACAUGCAGAAGGCCCCCGGUUCAGUCCCCGGCGCCUCCU